This 498-nucleotide ribosomal RNA is filed under the name uncultured bacterium. RNAcentral describes it as "partial 16S ribosomal RNA". It matches the Rfam family "Bacterial small subunit ribosomal RNA", at positions 28 to 507 of the family's 1533-position model. The record is from RNAcentral.
GACGAACGCUGGCGGCGUGCCUAAUACAUGCAAGUCGAACGAGAGCGACCGGUGCUUGCACUGGUCAAUCUAGUGGCGAACGGGUGAGUAACACGUGGGUAACCUGCCCAUCAGGAGGGGAUAACAUCCGGAAACGGAUGCUAAAACCGCAUAGGUCUUCGAGCCGCAUGGCUUGAAGAGGAAAAGAGGCGCAAGCUUCUGCUGAUGGAUGGACCCGCGGUGCAUUAGCUAGUUGGUGAGGUAACGGCUCACCAAGGCCGUGAUGCAUAGCCAACCUGAGAGGGUGAUCGGCCACAUUGGGACUGAGACACGGCCCAAACUCCUACGGGAGGCAGCAGUAGGGAAUCUUCCGCAAUGGACGCAAGUCUGACGGAGCAACGCCGCGUGAGUGAAGAAGGUUUUCGGAUCGUAAAACUCUGUUGUUAGAGAAGAACAAGUGCUAGAGUAACUGUUAGCGCCUUGACGGUAUCUAACCAGAAAGCCACGGCUAACUACGUG